GUAAUACCGCAUACGUCUACGGGAGAAAGCAGGGGACCUUCGGGCCUGCGCUAUCAGAUGAGCCUAGGUCGGAUUAGCUAGUUGGUGGGGUAAUGGCUCACCAAGGCGACGAUCCGUAACUGGUCUGAGAGGAUGAUCAGUCACACUGGAACUGAGACACGGUCCAGACUCCUACGGGAGGCAGCAGUGGGGAAUUUGGACAAUGGGCGAAAGCCUGAUCCAGCCAUGCCGCGUGUGUGAAGAAGGUUUCGGAUUGUAAAGCACUUUAGUUGGGAGGAAGGGCAGUAAGCUAAUACCUUGCUGUUUUGACGUUACCGACAGAAUAAGCACCGGCUAACUUGUGCCAGCAGCCGCGGUAAUACAGAGGGUGCAAGCGUUAAUCGGAAUUACUGGGCGUAAAGCGCGCGUAGGUGGUUCGUUAAGUUGGAUGUGAAAGCCCCGGGCUCAACCUGGGAAUGCAUCCAAAACUGGCGAGCUAGAGUACGGUAGAGGGUGGUGGAAUUUCCUGUGUAGCGGUGAAAUGCGUAGAUAUAGGAAGGAACACCAGUGGCGAAGGCGACCACCUGGACUGAUACUGACAUGAGGUGCGAAAGGUGGGGAGCAAACAGGAUUAGAUACCCUGGUAGUCCACGCCGUAAAGAUGUAAGGUAGCCUUGGAAUCCUUGAGAUUUUUAGUGGCGCCAGUUAU
This 688-nucleotide ribosomal RNA is filed under the name Pseudomonas sp. RNAcentral's name for it is "bacterial SSU rRNA". It matches the Rfam family "Bacterial small subunit ribosomal RNA", at positions 163 to 856 of the family's 1533-position model. The record is from RNAcentral. Lineage: Bacteria; Pseudomonadati; Pseudomonadota; Gammaproteobacteria; Pseudomonadales; Pseudomonadaceae.